UGGCGGCCUUAGCGCGUUGGCCCCACCUGACCCCAUGCCGAACUCAGAAGUGAAACGCCGUAGCGCCGAUGGUAGUGUGGGGUCUCCCCAUGCGAGAGUAGGGAACUGCCAGGCA
This 115-nucleotide ribosomal RNA is filed under the name Escherichia coli 2-005-03_S3_C2. Lineage: Bacteria; Pseudomonadati; Pseudomonadota; Gammaproteobacteria; Enterobacterales; Enterobacteriaceae. The record is from RNAcentral.